CGGCCACCUCGAGUGGCCCCUCGAUCUCGUCCAGCGUGUAGGUGAGCCGGGUCAUGAGCUUGGUCUUCUGGAACUCGGGCGGCGCGUUCUUGGCGAUGCCCUCGGCUUUCACGGUGAAGGAGGUGGGUUCCAGGCAGAACUUCUUCAUCUCGUACUUGCCGGCCUUGAAGGGGAAGGCGUCGACCCCGCCGUCGAUGGUCGGGCACUGGUUGGCUGUCCCCGUCCCCUUGACCUCCAUGUACGUCUUGCUCUGGAUCUCGUCGAAGGUCAGCCGCUUCGGCGCCCCCUCCGCGCUCGCGCCCUGCUCGACAGAAUGCCCACCCUCCGUUAGUUUCUAGCGACCGGAGGCGUAGAAGAUGAAGUGAUGGAAACAUCCAUGGGCAGUUAGAUUUACCGAGACGAGGAGGGCGGAGGUGGCGAGGGCGAAGCCGGCGAGCUUGGCGGCGUCGGCGCACUUGGUGGCGACCUCGCGGAGGUCGGAGGUGAGGGAGCAGGAGAUGGUCCGGGCGGCGUGCGAGGAAGGGCGCGCGGAGGAAGGGAGCAGCACGGCGGAGGAGGAGGAGGCGGAGCGGCCCAUCUUGGCCGGCUGCAUCAGGGUGGCGGCGGCCUGGAGAGACGCUGCCAUGGCUGCUGCUUGGUAGGGGGGGAUCGGUGGAGCUCGUGGUUGAGAGGCGUGUUGUCAGGGCGGGUCAAGUGUUAUCUAUGCGCGGGCAAGGAUCGGGGGCGCGGAUAAGAGGCGGCUUCCCAUUGGUGGCUGCUGGAUAAGAAUAUCAUCCGUUUAUUUCCGUGGCCACCAGCCAGUCAUUUCUUCUCCUCUUUGCCCAUCCAGAGUCCGGACUAGCCACAGCCACAGGCUCCUGGGCAAAGCCAGGCCCAGGGCGCGCCCAGCGCGCGCACCGGCACGCCCCGUCGCCAUCUCCUCUUGCCCAUCCCGGCAUCAACAGAAUAAGUUAUUUCCACGGUUUCUCAAUCUCGCCGCCGAAUGUCAUGAACGUACGCGGGGAAGCGCAAUGUGUAGAGACCACCGCAGCCGCCAUGAACGGCACCCACCGCGAUCGACCACUGCUCGCGAACAAAUUAAAUCUCGUACCUUGUCAACCAACCAAACAUAAUGAUCCCGCACAUUGCUCGAUAAAACUCGAACAUGCUCCAUUAAACACUCGGACCACAAUAUUCCGCUGUCUUAAAGCCGCCGUCGCCGGAACAGUACGGCUGGCGAUCGAACUCGCCGCCGUCCGCUACACUACACGCAAAAACAGAGCAAACACGGAAGCGCUCUUCUCGAAAAAAAAAAAAAAGAAGAAGAAGAAGAAGAAAAGAACGGAAGCGCUCUGUUCUGAUUCUUGGCCGGGCCACAUCGUGGCUCUCGAGCCCUUCCAAAUGGCCUCACCUCCCGAUGAAGCCCGUAGUGUCAGACCUUUUUUUUUUUCCUUUUUUUUUUAAAUAGAUAUCUGUACCUAAUAAUAAAAGCAGCAGUGUUUUCGUGGCUGGGUUUCGUCCGUCGGACCGGUUUUGCGUUUUAGCCCUUCUUUUUUUCAAGAAUCAACGCGCACUCCGGACAAAACUGGGUUUCCUGCAAAAAACUGGGCUUUUCCGCAAUUUGCCCUCUCUCCUGCUACGGGCUCGAACUGCGCCGCCACCUCCGCGCGCGUCUGGCCUCCAUGGACCGCCGCGCACGCCGUCGCGGGGCUCCGUAACCGCUUCCAAGUACUCACGGCGGGCUUCCAGACCAUCUGCCGACCGCCGCGCCGACGCGGCCCGCGGCUACCUCGUCGUGGCUGGCAAGGCCCCCACCGAGGACCAGCUGGACCGACUCCUUGACGCCGGCAGCAGAACCACCGAGGACCAGCACAGUCUCCGUAGAACGAGGCGCAGCCCCUGCCGCAGAUGUGGACAGCAGCAGGCGACCAGUAGGCUUGCCCAUCGGCCGCAUCUCCAUACGCAUCUCCUUGCCGUCACAGCAUCUCAUAUUCCCAUCCCCUCUCCCAAAUCCUCCUGCCGUCGCCUGGACUCCCUUUGCCCACCACUGAAGUUUGACUAACUUCUCCCUCUCCCUUUCCCACCACCACCAACGACCAACCAGCUACCUGUCCUACCCCCUCGCGGCCACUGUUGUCGUCCCGCCGCCACUCGCCGUGGCGGCAACCUAGCCAGCCAACAGCAGAAUCGUUCGGCGUUCCGCGGGCGCGGCCGGUGCUCCCCCCGCCCUUACCCUUACUCAUCUGUUUCGAAUUGAGCAUUGGAAUUUUUCCUGUUCAUGAGAAUGUUCACAUGGCACUUUAAUGCCAGAAAUAUAGAGUUUAAAGUUGAUGUCUAAGAGGAUAAGAGGAAUGAUCUUGAUCUGAAUUUCAACCUUGGUACAACCUUCAGUCUGAAUACUCCCAUUGUUUCUUAAGCACUGUAAAUAAACUAACCUUGCUAUUGCUAUCCUAAUGCUGACAUGUGAUUUAUUUCCAUUUGCAGCUUUCGUGCUUAAAUCAAUUGUCACAUUGUUGGAGUUCAGAUAUAUGUCAUAGAAUAAGAGAUGUUCACUUUGGCUGUUCAAAAAUGAUGCCAUAUGUUUGUUAGAUUCAGAGUCAAACAAAUCAAGUUCAUGAGUCAUUUUGUAAUUCACCCUGAACUAUGUCUGAUGCAUUCAGUGCAAUUUUGCCCAACAUCUUAUUUACUCCUGAGCUGAAAUCACUAGACCUCAGGACAUGACGAAACAAGAUGCCAACAGGAUUAAUUCCUGCAACAAGCAAAGUUAUCCUAAUAGCAUCAACUAUUAUGGAAUUAAAUGAAAGUAAAAGGAAUUUGAAUAUACUCUUCUUUUUCUUGGUAGAUUUCUUUGCUGGAUGCAAGCUAACAAAAUUUAGCAAACCUUUAUUGUUUUUUCAGGCUUGCUCACUAAACCUCACAUUUCUUGCCACUUGCAUAUAUAGUAUGGUGCAACAAUGGUAAUCCUAUGCGGAUCUUUUGUUACAUUCAUGUGGGUUUAGGGAUUUGUCAGUAAAUUAGGAAUUACCAUAGAAAUAUUAUUAAAUCGUUUAUGUGAAGAAUUUUCUUGCGGAGGAGUUCAACUACCAUAUUAGAUGUAUAGCGUGCUUUGUGUACUUGUCUUUAGGUUGAUUUCAUUACAGGAUUAUGAUAUUUUGAAUGUACAGUCCAGUUUCCAGAUUUUAAUCAUGGCGAAUUGCAUGGCCUUUCAGAUGCUAACGUUAUGAUACCCGCUGCAUAGCUUUUACUCCAUAUUUUUGUAAGUUGACAUUUUUGUCCAAUCUCAGUAAAUAUGCUCGGAUACCACAACAAUGCACGAUAUCCUUUUAUCUUAGUAACCCUGUUAGUGUGUUUAGUUCGGCGAGAUUUGGAUAUUCCAAAGUCCUCUGGAAAACAUGCUCUUAAAAUUUUAUGGUAGCAUCUCUGAACAUGUUUGUGGAAGUUAUUUGUUAUUCCAGUCUGAAUUGGAUGAGCAAAGUAUUUGUUUUGGACUAGAGUGCAUAUGGGUUAUUUCAAUUGUAGUAUUUUUGUGUUUUGUUCAUGUGUUCAAGUGCUAGGUCAAUAUAAUACAGUUUGUGCAGCACACAAACCACACUUGACUGUACAUUUAGGAAGUAAUGGCACUUUGAUUAAUACACAUUGUUCCAUUCAUUUCGACUGAAUGUCAAAUUAUGACGUCUUUUUCGGUAAACGUAAAUUCUGUGUGCAUAUGUUUAAAAGACCGUGGCAACGCACGGGCACUGUACUAGUGGAGUAAUAAUGUUCAUUACAGUGCAGAAAAACAUCUAUCAGAGACACAACGAUAACAUAAUAAUUUAUUACAGUGCAGAAAAACAUAUACAUGCAAAGAUAAUAUAACUAGAUAGAUAAAAGCAGUCGGUAAACCAGGCGGCGCCUCCAAUCCAUCAUGGUGCGGUAACCCAUUUAUGCACCAUAACGGAGUUUUUUCUUCACCUUUCAUGGGGGCAUCUCCUUAGGGCAUCUCCAAGGGCGAGCUCCCAUUUGUCCUCCCCAUUUGUCCAUUUGAGGGGCCUUUGGACAAAUGGAGGUGAGAAAAAUAUCAAGUUGUCCAAUGGCAACCCCUCAUUUAUCUCUCCAUGAGUCUCUGAAAUGUGAUCCAAGAAGAUAAGUGGACAAUAUUUAGAUGAGUUUUGCACAAAUGGGGACUCCCCGUACUCUCCCCAAAUUUGGGGAAGAAAUGGGGAGUGUUGAUCGCUUUUGGAUAAAUGGGGGUUUCAUUGGGUUGUAUAUUUUGCUCAUGGACCCUCACAUGGACAGAUUUGGACAAAUGGGGAGUAUUUGGGGGUUUCCUUUGAAGAUAACCUUACAAACGAGAACAGCGAGUUAUGAUGUGGCACAUGAUGCUAUAAUAAGGAUCUGGAAUAUCUUUUUCUUCUGCGAUUAUUACUCCAUCCGUUGCUUGUGAUAAUGUGCCAUGCAUUACUGAGGUGGUAUUGACUAGAUAAAUUUUGGACUCGCGCAAGACAAUGGUGUCAGGCACAUUGGUAGGAAACAGCUUAGAGCUUACACAGAGUGACCUCCUAGUCCUACCAACGAAGAGUGCAUUGCCAUUUUACAAGGUCAAACCUCAAGCCCGAGCCCGGCCCGGCCCCGAAACCCCAAAAAUAUGUCAUUUAAGCAUUAAAAUAAUUAUUUUCGGAAUAAAUAAAUGUAUUUUUAUACUUAUUUUUCCUAAAAAAUACUCAACUUAAGCCAUUUCGGGCUUUCGGGCCCAGAAAAGUGAAGCCCAAGCCUGGCCCGGUACACCGGGCUUCGGGCCGGGCCACCCAUGCCCAGGUAUAAUUGCCAUCUAUGGAUGUCAGAGGGACGGUCCUUCUCAUCAUAAGAUCAGCUAGCCUGUAAACUGAAUAGCAAACUGCAUGACAUUUCGUGCCAGUCACCAAAAUCUAGCGGAUGUAGUCCCGGAAGUCGCCGGCUAGCACUCCCCAUCUGAUUAGGCUCACCAAAUCCUCGUGCAGAGACGCCCACGGGGAUGAAUCAUCGCCGGCAGUAACCUUCCACCGCCGGCGCAUACUAUUGCUGCAAGCAACCAAGGCCGCUGGGUGACCCCGAUAACUCCGUGAAGACAUGCCACUGGCAGAGGACCAGCGGCAGAUAUGCAAACUAGGGGUUCACAGCGGCGCCGUAACAGACGGGGGAGGAAACCCUAGGGCUAAGCCGCUGCCUUUUUUUGUUCCUUUCAAGCGCAAUUAGAAGAAUCUGUUCGUUGGCGGAAUUAGUAGUCCCGUACUUUUCCCUGUACAUUCAGAAAAAAAAAUCCUUAAGAAGAGACCUGAGUACCUGCAGUGCUCCCUCCGACAUAUAAUAAGUGCCGGUGAUUUAGUAUGUGAGAGGGAGUAUAUAACAUCCAUAGAAGCCUCGAACGAGCAUGAGAGGAAGAUGGGGGAGUGGCGCUCGGAGGCGCAGCUCCAGACGCUAGCUCCUCUCGCUCUCUGACAAGGAGGCCGAUUGAGCCGGCAAGCUCACCGGCAAACUAUGUCAUUUUAGUUUAAUUUUGGAACACUUUAUCAAUGAAAUUUGGCAAAAGUUCAAAUUUUUAAUGGGGUCGCCCCGCUGUGGUUACCAUGAUUUACAUGUUAUGUUCUUAGUCACACCUCCUGGCGAUGCAAACCAUGCUUUUUAGUUGUUACCAUGCUUGUUUCUUGCCCUUAUGGAAAAAUGUGAACCUGUAGGCUUUGCUGUGUGUAUGUGCUGCUAUGGCAUUGAAGCGGAGAGACGGCGGUUACUGCUCAGAGCUGUGUGGCUCAUUCGUAAUCCUGAGGCUUUACUCUUCGUGGGUUGCAAGAAGCUGCCGCCAGUGAUGAUCAUCCAGAGGACUGAGUCAAUUAUCGGUUAAAAUUGUUCAACCAGCCCAAAUGAAAGGUGAUGGCGGUCAUGCAUAGGUAAAUGAAUCUGCAAAGACAUUUUUCAGAUUAUCAAUCACUUUCCAGUGCGCAGUUUGGUUAUACUCUAUUGUGCAAAGAGGCAAAAUCAGUUCUUACUCAUGAAUCAUUCUUACACUGAAUGCAUUCUUAUAAUGCAGGGAAAGACCAAAUGGUACUAUACUAGCUUUGCUUGUGUUCUGUAGCAUGAAGGUUGAUUGCAAGGAAAAUGGGUCCAGCCAUCUACUAGGAAAACGAAGGUUCAAUCACCUGUGGUAAAUCCUUGCCAUCAAAUUUUCCUAUGAUGUGACGUUAAUGGUGUUACAAAUUGAUUCUGUCUAUAGCAAGGAUAAGGUGGCAUGUUUUCUUUGGAAACUGCUAUUGGAUAGGUGGGUACUGGGAAAGCUUGCUAGAUUUGAUCAAGCCAACUUCUUUAUUCUUGAAUUGCCAUCAUGUCCACUUGUAAGAAUUCCUAGGGAAAAUGCCAUAAAGGGGGUGGCUGGAGGGGGUUCAAAUUCCUUAGUAAAUAAGGAAAUUAAUAAGAAUAAAAAAAACUUGAAAUAUUCUCCCCAUAUAUAGGGAUCACCUUUUUAGCAGCCAUACCGUAGUUACCAUGAUUUGCAUAUUAUGUUCUCACACCUUCUGGCGAUGCAUACCAUGCUUGUUUCAUGCCCUUACGGAAAAUGUGAACUUGUAGGCUUUGCUGUGUGUGUGCUGCUAUGGCAUUUAAGAAGCGGAGAGACGGCGAUUACAUUUGCUCAGAGCUGUGUGGCUCAUUCGUAAUCCUGAGGCUGUACUCUUCGUGGGUUGCAAGAAGUUGCCGCCAAUGAUCCUCAAAAGGAUGGAGUCAAUUAUCAGUUAAAAUUGUUCAACCAGCCCAAAUGAAAGGUAGUCAUGCAUAGGUAAAUGAAUCUGCAAAGACAUUUUUCAGAUUAUGAAUCCACUUACCAGAGUGCAGUUUAAUCCUUAUUCAAUAACCAUUUUGUUAAUAUUAUACUCUAUUGUGCAAAGAGGCAAAAUCAGUUCUUACUCAAGAAUCAUUCUUAUAAUGCAGGAAAGACCAAUUGGUACUGGGCUUUGCUUUGUUUUGUAGCAUGAAGAUUGAUUGCAAGGAAAAUGGGUUCAGCCGUCUAAUAGGAAAACGAAUGUUCAAUCCUUUACCUGUGGUAAACCCUUGCCCAACAAAUAUGCCUAUGAUGUGACGUGAUCGGUGUUAAGAAUUGAUUCUGUCUAUAGCAAGACUGCAAGAAUUGCAAGAUGAGGUGGCAUGUUUUCUUUGGAAACUGCUAUUGGAUAUGUGGGUAGCUUGCUAGUUUUGAUCAAGCCAACUUCUUUAUUCUUGCUAGCCAACUUCUUUAGUCUUGCUAUUUUGAUCAGAAAAGGAAACUACCAUCAUAUCCACUUGCAACAAUUCCUUAAAGCAUAUCCGCUUGUGAGUUGUGUAUACAAAUGUUUUCAUCACAUAUUUAACUUUUUAAAGCAAACUUUUUUUUUGGCUAGCUAGUUUCUUCAGCUAGCUCUUGAAAAAAAACAUAUAACAAAUCCAUCAAUUGUCAGUUUCAGAUACCAUUGCAGAUGAAUAAUCUUGUUUAUCGACAGCAGGAACGUCCAGCAAUGGAAAAACUGAAUGGUGGACUCAACAGAAAAGCUGGAACGAUACAAACAUAUCAAGCAAGGCUACCAACAGCCACAAAAUGAUGCAGAUGCUAUACUAGAAAAGAACUCUGUCCACAUGCAUGGUCCCAGAGGGGGUUGAUGUUAUUCCAAAGCCCUUGUUUUGAAUUCUCAAGUGGUGCUUCAGAUGAUAUUUCUGAUGUGCUACAGCAGAACGAAAAAUGUAAGCCAACAAAGAGAUGACCUGUUUUGACAAGCUUAAGAAUUAAAUAUUAAGCACCUUGAGAUGUUUUGCUGGAUCACUUGAUGGCUGCCCAUGCAUGAUGCAGGUAUUGGUGUGUGUGCCCCAUCGUAGAUCACAAAACCCAACAAACAGGCCAUCUCCAAACACGCCAGGAGUAGUGAAGAGCUUGACUAUAUUUCAGAACUGGAUGGACAGAGCAGACAAACACAACUGAAAACUAUUAUGGCAGCAAUCCAAAUUGGUUUGAAAGCCUAAUAACAAAGGGAAAGUAUCGAUUACCGAUUCGCAUGCACUUAAUCUAGGAAAGUCCAGAUUUCUUUUCGUGCUCAAAAAGUACGUGCUGCAUGCCAAAGAUCGAACCCGGCGCACCGUGCCCACGUGUAACAAUGUUUUCAUUAGAAGAGAACGUGCAGUGGAGACAUGAUCUUCUUUACAUGGUUCAACUGAAUUUUGGAUCCAUCGUAUCAGAAAUUCAGAAUAGAUAUAUAGUUUCGAUGAUCUCUGUCAAAUCAUAUCUUAUAUAUAUACCUCUAUGAGUAGUAUGUAUUUAUUAAUUAUUUCGCAAAAAGUAUGUAUUUAUUAAUUGCAAUAUAUGCAAAAUACCCACGUGCUCAGCAAUUCAUCUUGUUUUAUGAUUUGAUACAAUACAUAUAUACGUGCAAAAUAUUCCAAAAAUAUCUUGCCAAGUUUUUGCAUAUAUAGAAGUACCUAAAUAUACGGAUUUGAUAAGUCGAUUGACAAGCCCAUAAAAUAGAAAGGUUUUACUGCAUCCACGUAUAAUACCAAAGAUACAAUCCCCCCGUGCCUGUAUAUAUUCACACAUCUCCGUCUCGCUUUCUCUCAAGUAAAAUCGUCUAUCUAGUUUAGUCGUAGGAGGUACAUACGCAAUGGUUGUUUUCACGGGGAAUUUGCUGACCUUUUUGCUAUGCAUUUCCCUCUUUGAAGGUUGGUCUCUGCUUCUAGUUUAUUUCUACGCGCGUGUAUAUAGCUCUAAUUUUCGAAAGGUUUCAAGUCUCAUCCUAUUGGCUAUUUUGUAAAAGAAUAUAAUUCUGAAGCUGUAUUUGCCAUGAUGUUUAUGUAUGCAGGUUGGAUGGUCCAGUCGGUUCCGUAUGAUCAUACGGCGAGCAUUGAGGCAAGUCUUUGUUUUCUUUUUCUGCCCGAUCGAUGGAUGUAAAAUUGGCUUGUUUACACAGAAGAAAUCACCUUUUUGCUGCUUACCAGUAGAAACACUUGGCCGAAAAGACAGAUUAGUCAUGCAGGAAUGUUAUCUGGGUUUCACAAUAGAUGGUGUUUUUGCGAGUAAUAUACUUCCUCCAUCCAAUAAAAAAUGUCUCAAGUUUGUCAAAAUUUGAAUGUAUUUAGAUAUGACUUAGGGUGUGUUUGGUUGGUGAGUAGACGAGAAUGGGUUGGUCUCAACCAGAUUUUAAGGACGGGGCAAACCAAAAUUUGUGUUUGGUUAAGAUGAAUGGAGCCAACCAAAUUUGAUGUUUGGUUCGAUAGGUCGUUGCCGAGCGCUGUCAUCUCCUUCAUCUCCGGCCACGUACGCCGCGUCAGACCUCGCCAUC
RNAcentral lists this long non-coding RNA (9281 nucleotides) under Brachypodium distachyon (stiff brome). RNAcentral describes it as "long non-coding RNA (BDIS_LNC001121)". The record is from RNAcentral. Lineage: Eukaryota; Viridiplantae; Streptophyta; Magnoliopsida; Poales; Poaceae.